This 82-nucleotide small nucleolar RNA is filed under the name Petromyzon marinus (sea lamprey). RNAcentral describes it as "Small nucleolar RNA SNORD24 (ENSPMAG00000011557.1)". Lineage: Eukaryota; Metazoa; Chordata; Hyperoartia; Petromyzontiformes; Petromyzontidae. The record is from RNAcentral.
UGCUACAAUGAUGACAUUUAUUUGCUACUCUCGACUGCCUGGAUGACGAUGCCUUUUAACCACCAUUGUCUUGUCUGAGGCA